CAGAUAGUCACUGUAUUCAGUGAUUCAGAACAGAUCAAAGUAUAUAAAAUAAACUAAGCAGAAACAGAAAAAAAGCAAAAUAGGUGCAAGUCGCUGUUAUCCCCAAAUAAAAUAUUAAACAAUCUCUGGAUUUUAGAAGAAGCAGUAGUAGAUCUCUAACAGCACUGUGAAAAUCACCCAUGCUACUUCUACUCAAGUCUUAACUAUAACAAAUUUCAAAAUUUGCUACACCUGAUACACCAGAUUUAUCCAUGUUAGCUGAUUUCUUGCUAGCUGACAGCACCUGUUUUAUUCUAAACUAGUUACAGCUAAUUGUCAAUAAAUGGAGAGAAGGUAAUCUUGCUAUUGUGUCUUGACUGUUUACUGGCAAAUGUUCUUAAAGCUUUUCUUUUUUUUUUUCUUCCUUCUCUUCCUUUUAGGUAAAGUAUUUCUAUAUGUGUAAGUUUGCAGGGGAAAAAAAGAGUAAAAUAAAUAGCAGUCAUUAAUGAUCUUUUCCCUAUGAUUUCUAAAGCUGGAAAUGUGUUUGUGUAGCUGUUUUGUGUUGCUGAUUAAUGUAAUUGAGCCUCAAUUAGCGAGACCAAAAAAGUGUAUUUGAUUAUGCAAUGGCUGGAAGACCACUAAAUAUCAGAUUAACCAGUUGGACACACUGGAUAUUGGCAAUUAUUCUGCUGCUGUGGAGUCAUCAGGUCAGUGGACAAGGACAAGGAGAAAAUGAGGUCUUUAGAGCCCUUAUGCAGGACGUACAAUACAGGUUCAGUAGUCUACUUGUUUGUCUCUUCCCACCUUGCAGGUGAAUGUCCUGACUCUUAGCUGAAAGGUAAGGGUUGCUUCUGCUUUUCUAGGGGAAACACUGUGUUCCUACACUUAAAAGGUCUGUG
RNAcentral lists this long non-coding RNA (878 nucleotides) under Phasianus colchicus (ring-necked pheasant). RNAcentral's name for it is "lncRNA (ENSPCLG00000021226.1)". The record is from RNAcentral. Lineage: Eukaryota; Metazoa; Chordata; Aves; Galliformes; Phasianidae.